Molecule: unclassified non-coding RNA, 786 nt
Filed under: Hevea brasiliensis (rubber tree)
Lineage: Eukaryota; Viridiplantae; Streptophyta; Magnoliopsida; Malpighiales; Euphorbiaceae
Source: RNAcentral
CGGACCUCAUUCUUUCUUUCUUUUAUUUUUUUUUUUCUCCCUCUAUUUCCAGAAUUCUUUUCUUUUUGCUGUCAUGCUAUUCUAUUGCUUUUCCAUUUCUCCGACGUAAAUGUACAUGUUAGCCUAACUAUUUCAUAUUUACAAAAGCUAUGAUCGCUGCCUACCUGCUCCAUUGUAGUUACCUCUCCUGCCACUACCACUUUGUCUCCGAACCCCUCCUGUCCAAUCAAAAUCUUCAUCAUCAUCAUCAUCAUCUCCAUUCAUACGUCUAUAUUUUGUCUUCCUAGGGGUAGGGCGCUUCCUCUUGAUGUUUGCAGUAUAAGUGGAGUAAUCAACAGCAUCUUCCUUUAAAGCACUCUUAAGCUCCUGAUAUCUCUGCACCAAAUCCUGAUAUGUGGAUGGCACACUAGUCGAUGUUUCACUGAUGUCAAAGGGAAUAUUCUGCCUUGAGAGAACUUCCCCAGAUUUUGGGGGUUCGUUUGGAGAGAAAGCCUGGCAGCGGGCAUCAUUCAGGCUAUACACAACUUUUAGAUGCCUCUUGAGCUUCAAAAGAAGCUGCAAAGCAAUUGCCCAAAGACAAUCAACCUGGAUUUUCUCCUCAUCAUUUUUCGAGAUGCUGAAAGAAUCAGCUGAGCUCAUCCUAUCCAUCUUUGGUUCUCUUGAAGCAAUAGGGUUCAAAUGAGGCUCUUCCUGAACUGUUCCAUUCAAAUCAAAUGAUGUCAAAGGAGUCAAAUCAGGCUGCACAACUAGAUCUUGCUGCAUCAUCCCAUUCAAAUUCAUUGUGGG